This 673-nucleotide ribosomal RNA is filed under the name uncultured bacterium. Its description in RNAcentral is "bacterial SSU rRNA". It matches the Rfam family "Bacterial small subunit ribosomal RNA", at positions 44 to 715 of the family's 1533-position model. The record is from RNAcentral.
AUGCUUAACACAUGCAAGUCGAACGGUAGCAGGCCUUCGGGCGCUGACGAGUGGCGGACGGGUGAGUAACGCGUAGGAAUCUGCCUCAUAGUGGGGGACAACGUGGGGAAACCCACGCUAAUACCGCAUACGCCCUACGGGGGAAAGCGGGGGAUCUUCGGACCUCGCGCUAUGAGAUGAGCCUGCGUUAGAUUAGCUAGUUGGUAGGGUAAAGGCCUACCAAGGCGACGAUCUAUAGCUGGUCUGAGAGGACGAUCAGCCACACUGGGACUGAGACACGGCCCAGACUCCUACGGGAGGCAGCAGUGGGGAAUAUUGGACAAUGGGCGAAAGCCUGAUCCAGCAAUACCGCGUGUGUGAAGAAGGCCUUAGGGUUGUAAAGCACUUUCAAUUGGGAGGAAAACCUGCCGGUCAAUACCCGGUAGCUUGACAUUACCUUUAGAAGAAGCACCGGCUAACUCCGUGCCAGCAGCCGCGGUAAUACGGAGGGUGCGAGCGUUAAUCGGAAUUACUGGGCGUAAAGCGUGCGUAGGCGGUUCGUUAAGUCAGAUGUGAAAGCCCCGGGCUCAACCUGGGAACUGCAUUUGAAACUGGCGGACUAGAGUUUAGUAGAGGGGAGUGGAAUUUCAGGUGUAGCGGUGAAAUGCGUAGAUAUCUGAAGGAACACCAGUGG